Molecule: long non-coding RNA, 13949 nt
Filed under: Malus domestica (apple)
Lineage: Eukaryota; Viridiplantae; Streptophyta; Magnoliopsida; Rosales; Rosaceae
Description: long non-coding RNA (MDOM_LNC016268)
Source: RNAcentral
GUCCUAUCAAUCCCAAAACAAGAUUCAGAAGCUAACAAUACUUGAACAUACAUAUCCAAAUUGCAGAAAAACUUCUAUAACACCCCAAUGCCAGGGACUCGUAAUUUAACCAUUGUCACAAAAUGUGUAAUCAGCCUAGUAGUGAACAACCACAAAAAGUUUUAACAUAACAACUGCGACUCCCAAGCUGAACCCACACACAUAAGCAUAUAAAAUAUUUUUAAAAACUCAAGAAUUGCAUAGGGAGACUUGUAAAAGAACUUUGAUCGUUAAAGAAACAAAACAGAUAUGCAUAAAAGUAGACACAAUAACAAAAGAACCAACCGGUCCAUGAUCUUUUAUCCAAACAGAAAUAGGUCUGUUGGCAUCUUCAGGUGCAUAAGGGUCUUUGUUAAGGAAGUCAGGAACCACAACGAAGAACCCAGCAGCUGCAACUUUGUCAGCAAGCUUCCUUCACAAUGGAAGGCAGGUGGCAUUAGUUAAAGGGUAUAGGAUAAUAUGGAAACACCGAACAACAUGAAAAUAUCUGAAGUCGGUAACUGGCACAUGAAAUUUUAUCCUUCUGUAAAUUAUAGAGUGAACAAUCUAAAAAUACAGGUAUAGAUCUUCAAACCAUCAUGAAAGGUUAUUGUAAAAGUCAGGGGAUCCGACAAUUGUUAUACGAUAUCUGAUACUCAUAGACAAUCCGAAACUAUUGGUUGCAACUAUCUUUCAAAAAUAAGUCAGAUAUAGAUAUAGAAUCAUAGAUUACAGACCUACUGUAACUUUUUCUUUUUUUUUUCUUCCUUAACGAUUGAAUUAUUUCAAGUAAACUGUUCAUCAAAUUUAAGUAGCAAGUGUAAAUAUCCGAAAGCGAAAAGUCAUCAUACCUCAAGUUUGGAGCUUCAAAUCCUGAAUGACAAAGAAAACAUUCAACAUUACAAAGCAGUUAUACAAAACACACACUUUCAUCACAGAUUUGAACAACACAUAAGCUAGAUUAUCAAGACUUUAUCAGAAUUGGAGGGAAAAAAAUCCAAAAAUUCAAAGGGGAAGGGAAAAUGUCAUAAAUUUAGGAAACCCAUCAACAAACAUAGCCUAAAAAUCAAUACCCAUUAAACCAAAAACCCAUAUAAAAAUAGACAACAAGGAAACAAACCCAUGUCGUAGAAUGAAGAAAGGAGAGGUUUUUUAAGUGGUGGGAAAGUUACCAUAAACGUCAGAGAUGAGAAGAACGGCAAGGUUGGAAUCAGGGGAGCCAGUGACAUAGGAGUCCAGACCGCCGAGGCUUUCGACAUGGCCGGUGCCGCUGGAGGGGUUCAGGGUCGGAGGGUUUGAGCAGCACUCAGAGCUUGCCAUUAUUUCUUUCCUUUUCUCUCCCUGAAUUCACACUCUUUGUCGGUGUUUGAUUGAGCUAGGGAUUUGGAUCCUCUCCUGAGCUAAUGGAGAGGAUCCUCCUGACCAAAUGUUGUGCAUCGUUGAAUUUUUAUCCAACGGCUAUAAACAGAUGGGUCUUUUAAAGUUAUAAUAAUUAUAACAGUUGGAUGAAAAUUCAACGGCCCAUAACACUUGGUCAGGAGGAUCCUCUCUAUUAGCUCAGGAGAGGAUCCAAAUCCCCGCACAGCGGAGACUAUAUUUAAAUAUAAUUAUUAUUAAGUAUUACAGUACUACCACGCCGUCCAUGAUGCUUACAUUUAGGGAUAUGAUAUCCACACACUUCUUUUUACUUCUCCCACACUUUUUUAGUUUUUGACCGUCGGAUCGGAUGAAUCGAAGAAAAUCAACGAACAGAAAUUAACAAGGGGUGUGUGAGAAGUAAAAAUGGAUGUGUGAAUAGCACACCCCUCAUUUAUAAUUUGAUAUUAACCGUUUAUUUGUUUUUUUUGGCUGAACUUUCAACUUGUUUUAAAAAAUUACCAAUUAAAUAAAAAGAAAAUAUCACCCGUCCAUCCUCAUCUCCCAUUUGGAUUCAUCAUGGGUGAAUAACGUGGAAGCAGUUCAAGUACCAACCCGAGUUAAUGAGGCAUUGAAGGAUCCGAAAUGGGCUACUGAAAUGGAUGAAGAAAUGAUGGCACUACAUAAGAAUGAUACAUGGGAAGUAAUGGAACUACCAAAGGGGAAAGGGCCGGUCGGAUGUAGAUGGGUCUUUACAAUUAAAUACAAGGCCGACAGAUCAAUAGACAAGUAUAAAGCAAGGUUAGUGGCAAAAGGUUAUACUCAAACGUACAAUGUUGAUUACCAAGAAACCUUUUCUUCAGUAGCAAAGAUGAAUACAAUACGGGGUUCCUAUUUCACUAGCUGCAAAUUUGAAUUGGUCACUGAAACAAUUUGAUGUUAAAAAGAAGUGUUUAUGGAUUUUCCUCUGAGUAUAAUGCUGAAGGGAAAACCGAAGUAUGUAGGUUGCAAAAGUCUCUUUCUGGACUUAAGCAAUCACCUCGUGCAUGGUUUGGUAGAUUUACUCAAGUUAUGAGAAGGAAGGGAUAUUAUCAUAGUCACUCUGACCAUACAUUGUUUGUAAAAUGGAGAAGUGGUAAUGUGACAACCUUAAUUAUUUAUGUGGAUGACAUGAUAAUAACAGGUGAUGAUUUGGAAGAGAUGAUGAAGCUGGAAGCAAGUCUUGCCGCCGAGUUCGAGAUGAAGAAUUUGGGAGACAAAAUAUUUUCUUGGAGUAGAAGUGGCUAGUUCAUCUUGAGGUAUUUUCUUGUCUCAACGUAAAUAUGUUAUGGAUUUAUUAAAAGAGACAGACAUGCUGGGAUGUAAACCGGUGGACACUCCUAUUGUAGAGAAGCAUUAUUUAGGGAUUUAUCUAGAUCAAGAAUCGGUUGACAAAGGCAGAUAUCAGAGACUGGUAGGGAGAGUAAUUUAUUUGUCCCACACUCGUUCGGAUAUUGCCUAUGCAGUAAGUGUGGUGAGUCAAUUUAUGCACUCGCCGAGUGUGGAGCAUAUGGCGACAAUUAUGAGGAUUCUAGCGUAUUUAAAGUCUGCUCCUGGAAAGGGAAUCCUGUAUAAGCCUCAUGGACACGUGAGGAUUGAGGGAUUAACUAAUGCUAAUUGGGCAUGUGAUGUGAUUGAUAGGCGUUCUACGUCUGGAUAUUUUACAUUCGUUGGAGAAAAUUUGGUUACUUGGCAGAGCAAGAAACAGAGGGUGGUGUCUCAAUCUUCUGCUGAGGCGGAAUACAGGAGCAUGGCGCAUGGUGUGUGCAAGAUUCUUUGGCUACGGAAGUUGAUUUGAAGUCUCGGAUUUAAACAAGAAGAGGCAAUGAAAUUGUAUUGUGACAAGUCGGCAAGAGAGAUAGCAGAGAAUCCAGUACAACAUGAUACAACUAAGUAUGUUGAGGUUGAUCGACAUUUCAUUAAAGAAAAGCUUGAGAAGAAGAUUGUUUCAAUACCAUUUGUGAAAUCGGAAGAACAACUUUCAGAUGUUCUUACUCAUGCCGUGUGUAGUAGAGCUUUUGAUGACUUACCUAUCAAGUUGGGCAUGUGUGAUAUCUAUGCACCAACUUGAGGAGGAGUAUUGCAUGAGUCACUGUAUAGGAAAAGAGAAUGUAAAUAUUGUGUAAAUAUUAGUCAUGUUUUAGGAAGGUAAUAUUAAUGUCCUUUAUUGUUUCCUUAUGUAAUAAGGAUUGUAUGUACUUAUAUUCAAAAUUAUGGAAUACAUGAAAAUUAAGCUGUAAAAUUCUAUUACAAAACUUUAAACAAAUACGAACAUAAAACUCCAGAGGCAUUAUUUAUCCAUUACUAAUAGAUAGCAGCUGAUAAGGAAAACCACUUCAACAAAUCUUGAUGAGGCCACUCACUUGACAUGGUUCAAGAACCACUUCAACAAAUCUUGAUGAGCCUCCUCGGCAGACUUACAAGCUGCUUCGUCUUCAACACUGUACCUCACCGUCCACCCAUGUGACACUUUCGGGAAUAUUUUCACAUGGCUCUUAACCUGUGAUUCCACAAAACCAACAAUCGUUUCAACAAAUUUCAAAAGUUUACCACUACAAGCUACCACAGUGGUGAAUCCUAAUGUGAAGGGGGGUGUUUUUGGUGUUGUCCUAUCAUUUCUUCAAAAAGAACAAAAUGAAAAUGUUUUCAAAGUUCGUACAAAACGGUAUAUGACCCUGAUUGGAAAUUAAAAUAUAAUAUCUUAACGUAGUAUAUAAGCUCACUGGCCCCCUUCCCUUACAAGUCAUAUUUGUAAGGGCAAGUUACCUAUAACUAUAAGCCAUGCAUAAUUAUAUUUCAUAAUAUGAUAGAAAAAGUUCGCCAUGCAUCCCAAGUUGAGGAAUGUCCAUGAUUAGAAUAAACAAACUAACAAAGCCACAAAAGUAUUGAAGACUAUUCGGAUGAAGGAGAUUUCUACCUCAGGUUUUGCAGUUAAAACCUCUUCAAACUGUUUCACGACUUCAGGCGGAGACAUCUGAUCAAUCUCAGCUCCAAGUACAGAAAUAGGAACCUUAACCUCUGAAAGUAAGUCCAGGAAUAGAUCAUAAAGUGAGUGUGAGACUAAUUUUUUGUUCCAAUAAUGGAUUAGAUAUUUCCUGAAUAUUACUACAGGUAUCUUACCCUUGAUAUCAUCCACAGUGACUAAUGAUGGAUGACACAGAACAGCAGCUUGAAUUAAAGCGUGCUUUGAAAGUUCAACCACAACCUUGGCUGAAAACAGCGCAAAUAGUUCAAUGUCAGCUGAAACAAUAUUUUCCAUAUUGGUUGAACUACUGAAACAAGAGUGAUAAGUAAAACAUUGCCUAAACAUUAUCCAAAUGUCUAAACGAGAAACAUUUUUGUUACACUCAAAAAGCAACAAAUUAAAUAUAUACAAGGAAAAAUGAAAUAGAGCAACUAAGAUGUUAACGAGAAAUGAACGUGAACUCACCUCCCCAACAGAAGCCUGCAGCACCGAUUGCAGAAACACCUUUACUUUUUAAAGCUUCAAGAACUGGCUUUGCAUCCUCAAAUCCCUUGUCCUAUCAAUCCCAAAACAAGAUUCAGAAGCUAACAAUACUUGGAACAUAUCCAAAUUGCAGAAAAACUUUUAUAACACCCCAAUGCCAGGGACUCGUAAUUUAACCAUUGUCACAAAAGGUGGAAUCAGCCUAGUAGUGAACAACCAUAAAAAGUUUUAACAUAACAACAGUCUUCAUGCACUCCCAAGCUGAACCCACACACAUAAGCAUAUAAAAUAUUUUUAAAAACUCAAGAAUUGCAUAGGGAGACUUGUAAAAGCACUUUGAUCGUUAAAGAAACAAAACAGAUAUGCAUAAAAGUAGACACAAUAACAAAAGAACCAACCGGUCCAUGAUCUUUUAUCCAAACGGAAAUAGGUCUGUUGGCAUCUUCAGGUGCAUAAGGGUCUUUGUUAAGGAAGUCGGGAACCACAACGAAGAACCCAGCAGCUGCAACUUUGUCAGCAAGCUUCCUUCACAAUGGAAGGCAAGUGGCAUUAGUUAAAGGGUACAGGAUAUUAUGGAAACACCGAACAACAUGAAAAUAUCUGAAGUCGGUAACUGGCACGUGAAAUUUUAUCCUUCUGUAAAUUAUAGAGUGAACAAUCUAAAAAUACAGGUAUAGAUCUUCAAACCAUCAUGAAAGGUUAUUGUAAAAGUCAGGGGAUCCGACAAUUGUUAUACGAUAUCUGAUACUCAUAGACAAUCCGAAACUAUUGGUUGCAACUAUCUUUCAAAAAUAAGUCAGAUAUAGAUAUAGAAUCAUAGAUUACAGACCUACUGUAAUUUUUUUUUUUUUUUUCCUUCCUUAACGAUUGAAUUAUUUCAAUUAAACUGCUCAUCAAAUUUAAGCAGCAAGUGUAAAUAUCCGAAAGCGAAAAGUCAUCACACCUCAAGUUUGGAGCUUCAAAUCCUGAAUGACAAAGCAAACAUUCAACAUUACGAAGCAGUUAUACAAAACAGACACUUUCAUCAAAAAAUUGAACAACACAUAAGCUAGAUUAUCAAGACUUUAUCAGAAUUGGAGGGAAAAAAUCCAAAAAUUCAAAGGGGAAGGGAAAAUGUCAUAAAUUUAGGAAACCCAUCAACAAACAUAGCCUAAAAAUCAACACCCAUUAAACCAAAAACCCAUAUAAAAAUGGACAACAAGGAAACAAACCCAUGUCGUAGAAUGAAGAAAGGAGAGGUUUUUUAAGUGGUGGAAAAGUUACCGUAAAUGUCAGAGAUGAGAAGAACAGCAAGGUUGGAAUCAGGGGAGCCAGUGACAUAGGAGUCGAGACCGCCGAGGCUUUCGACAUGGCCGGUGCCGCUGGAGGGGUUCAGGGUCGGAGGGUUUGAGCAGCACUCAGAGCUUGCCAUGAUUUCUUUCCUUUUCUCUGCCUGAAUUCACACUCUUUGUUGGUGUUCGAUUGAGCUAGCACAGCGGAGACUAUAUUUAAAUAUAAAAAUUAUCAAGUAUUACAGUACUACCACGUCGUCCAUGAUGCUUUCAUUUAUAAUUUGAUAUUAACCGUUUAUUUGUUUUUUUUUUUUGCUGAACUUUCAACUUGUUUUAAAAAAUUACCAGUUAAAUAAAAAGAAAAUAUCACCCGUCAUCCUCAUCUCCCAUUUGUAUUCCACCAAACAGUUAAAUUUCGUGAAUAUUUUUGCAAAAAAAAAAAAAUUAAUUCUUUUUCAUUUUGAUUGGAGGAUCAUUUUCCACUUAAUUCAUUAAGUUCGGGAUCUGAGCCGUUCAAAUUUGAUCUAACGAUUACAGUUAUUAUAACUUUUAAAGAUCACCUUAUUUGUAGCCGUUUGAUCAAAUUUCAACAGUCAAAAUCACAAACUUAAUGAAUUAGGUGAAAAGGAAUCCGGAUAAUCCCUUUCCGUUUUGAUUGAUUCUCAUUGAAUUUCAAGUGACAUGGGAGACUUCUUUUAUAUUUUGUUUUUUAUUGAAUUCUUUACUUUUUCAAUGACGGGAUGAAUGACGUAAGCCUAAUGCGAAAAGUCUGAGGAGAAUUGCUAAGAGCUAGAGUCCAGGACUACAAGACUUCAAGAACGUGUUUACGUGUUCGAUAUCAGAAUCAAAGGUCAGUGUGAUUCUGAUUACGGGUUAUUUUUGUAUUUAAAAAAAUUUGGAUGAAUCAAAAUGGGUGGGGCCCACUUGAAAUAUAGGAAUUGAAUUCUUGAUUUUGAAGGAAUUGAACUCCUGAGUAGGAUGUGUCAUUUGAAUUCCGUCUAAUUCCUAAAAACUCCAUCUAAUUCCUAAAAACUCCAAAUCUGCCACUCAAAUCAACAAGCCCAGACCUCUCUGCUUGCCUCCCAUUCACCUCCCCGUGCCCCAGUGAACCAAUCUCAAGAAUCCUAGAGCGUCUUCAGAUAUCGUAGUGAGCUGGUUGUUCUUUGGUUGUGGCAUCGUGGUCGUGUGGGGAUGGAGGUGCAACGAGCGAGAGAGAUCAAUGGAUGCGCAUGAAAUGAUGAUGAAGGAUCCACAAAAAAUAAAAUGGAGGAGAGGGAGGGAGAGAAUGGUGGCAAGGGUUAGCAGGGCGACCGUCCAAGGCCUAAAAAACUCGAGGGGCACCAAAAAUUGAUAGAGUAGUAUAUUCAUAUAUAUUUCCAUAAGCAUAUAAAUUUUGAAACCUUGGUUAAAUCAAUAAGAACUUUAGGCAGGAGUGGUGGUGUUUCGCUGCCAACUUAACAAGACGAUGUUGUGUUCGAAACCCGAUAUGUUCAUUUUUUUUUCCAAUUUUUUACGAUAUUCUGUUAAUUUGCACAACAAACUAAACAUUUAACUUAAUGCUAAGAACUCAUUAAAAUACAAAUAAUUAAUAAAACAAUACAUUAGAAAUAUGGUGCCCAACACCUAUUAAUGUUCUUCCUCAACCCUUUUGUCGUUUCUUUUAACUUCCCUGGGAAGCGGCCAUAAGCCAUGCCUCUCAAUUUCUCUUAUUUUAUUUAUGAAGAAAUAUAAUUCUUGAAAAAAUAAUUUUACAGUAACAAUCACAUAUGGUUGUAGGUCGGAGAAAAUUGCAAAGGCAUAGGGAGGAAGAGGUAGAAUUGAAGGAUUUUGAUGACAAAUUUACCUAGCUAACGAAUUUCAGAAAAAAUUAUGAAAAAAAUGUCAUUAGUUCUACAAGAUUUAGGGGUUAAAGUGUGAACGAUGAGAGGUUCUUGUCGAGAGGCAUAGUUGUUGCGACCCGUGGAGGAAGUGAAAGAGAUAAAAGUGAAGGAAUAAAAGUUAAAGUUCGAGGAAGAACAAAGAUAAGUGGUGGGACUCAGAAUUCUAAUUAUCUUUAAUUCUCUCAUGCAUUGCUUAUACAUUUCAAUUAAAAACUCAAAAAUAUGAUAUAUAUUUUUUAGUCACAUAUUGACAAAGUAAGUAAAUAAGAAAAAACACCUCACAAUUUUAUAUAAAAGCACUCCAAAAUUUCGAGGGGAAACAUCUACUUGUAAGCCGGGGUUUUUUUGGUUCCCUUCUCUCAAACCAAAUGUUGUGUCAUCAAUAGAAAUAAGCACGUUAAUCAACCCUUAAAUAAUAAUCCAAUUAUCAACUUCCAUGUUAUUUAGUUUACCAUAUUUUGUCUACAAAUUUAGUCUUCUUAACAUUACCCUUUCCAAAUUAUUAAAUUUGGUGUGCUUUUUCUAUGUGUUAUUUUAUCGAAAUCUUACCUGUAAAAACAAAUCAUUUUUAUUAUAUAUGGAGUUAGGACAUAUUUUUUUAUGUCGUCCUGGGCCUCAAAAAUCUCAGGACCGGCUCUGAAUGGUGGCGGUAGUGACUGUUGAGGACUGACGAAGGAUACUGGGGAGAAGAGAAAAGACGUGAAAAAUUAGGUUUCAAAAGGCAGAAAACUUGGGAAGUUAUGGGGUUGGUAUAAAAAAUUGGGAGUUUUAACGAAACACUCCCGAUACUAUUCACUUUUAAUGAAAAACCACAUUUUUACCUUUUUCUGGUACUAUUCACUACACUUUUAUUUGUCAUUUUUCAUUAAAACUAAAAAAAAAUUGGAUUUUUAGUGAGUUUUUCUUUAAAAAAUUGGGUUUGAAAAGGUGUUGACCCUAAAAACUACUAAGCCUACGUGGCGCGCAGGCCGAGUAAUUUAUAAGCUAAUUACGUCAUUCGGUUGAAUGCGGGGCGUGCCAACUCGUCGGCCGAGCUUGGCCGAGGAGUAAAAUUUAUCGAUGUUGCGUUGGGUGCGCAGCUGACUUCUGCAUCUUGCGAUUGCGACCGAGAAAGGAACACGUCUCGGCCUCUUGGGUUCUCGAACUUGAAGAUAAGGCUACUAUUCUUACGAAGUUCACGAAUCGUCGUCGUUGGAUUCGGUCACAGUGAUGGUAUUCCUCAGAGUAAACUCACGUCGAAUCGACACCAAAGUGUAAGGGCACAAAUACUCAAAGCGGAUAUAAGUCUUAAUAGUGAACGUGGUUCGGCCGUCUGAAUGCCGAACUCCAAAUCCCACUUGAGAGUAUCCAAUCAUAAAAUAACUCAGCGUGCAAUGCGCCGAGCUCAGUAAGUUUUAACACUUCACUUCUCCGAGAAGGCUAAUGAGAUGACCUCGAUCAAUAAGGAUUCGGAAAUCCUUCUCGACCGAGACUUGGAUAGGUAACCAACCACCUUCGCCGCAGUGCUGUUGAUGCCAACGGAAGAUGCUGCGAGAUCGACUAAUUUUACGGCGAUAGAGCUAUCUAUGCCGACUGAAGAUAUCACCGGUUGCUUUCACAGUGCUGUUGAUGCCAACGGAAGAUGUGUCAGCGAAAAGAGAAAAUAAAAAUCUCAAAGUUGUUGAGAGAGUUUGCGUAGGGUAGUUGUGUGUUGAAUUGGAUGGGCUUUCAAUGGUGUUCGCAACCUUGUAUUUAUAGACGCAGAUGUGUGGUGCGGCUUCACACUAGUGUAGGAUUUGAUUUCAAUUCACACUUAUCAGCCAGAGUCCCAGUCAAACACUUCUCAAGGUAAGCAGCAGCCUAUCUUCUAGAUGUCAUCAUUAUCUCCUUAUUUUAUGCAAAUAAUUAACAUGCAUAAUGGCCUCCACAGCUCUGGAACCAAAGCAUGCUGAUAAUUAACAUGCAAGCCUAGCCAUUCACUUCCACAAGACUCGGUAACCCGCCAAAAUCCAAGGAUACAUGCCAUUUGGUGGUCAUUUGCUUUCCAUGUGGAGACCAUCAAAAUAAAACCUUUUUUCAUGCCAUCUUUAUCCAUCCAAACCAUUUCCAACUUUUGCACUGCAUUUAAUGAAAUUAUCACAUGCAUGCAUAAAAAAUCAUGGCUGGUAGUUUUGCAUUAUCUGCAAAACCACCCUGAUCCCAUCACAUCACUUUACUUUGAUUAUUCCACACGUCUACACACAUCCCAACUUAAUUUGAAAUGUACCACUUGCUUAGAGAUAUAAUUCGCAUCUGUCAAGAUAAUUAAAAGAUAAUUAUUAUGAUAAAAACCAUAAUAUUAUCUUUUAACAACAACAAAACUAUCUUCACUUUUCCAUCCAACGGUUGAGAGCUAUGCUCACUCGACGGCCUUGAUUGCACAGGCCGAUGGUGUAAAUUCAAAUUCAGAAGUGAAUUGGUAAACAACUUAUAUGAAACCAACACCAUUCCUAUUCCAUUUCGUGAUAAUUUAGUAAACACCUUUUAUAGGAAUCUGAUUCUAAUUCCUCCCCAAUCCAAUUCUGCAUCAAUAUUCCUUAUCAAUUCAAUUUCUCCCAUUUUGAUUACGGAUUAGUAAAUGAGCCACAAGAGUAUGGCUCCAAACCAAACCCAGUACACCAAGUUGGUCAUUUGUGAAAGUGAAAGGGUCUGUUACGGUUGGAAGUAAAUUGCAGAAUAUGAGUGAUCAGUUGAUGUAUUGUGCAUGCCGAUGAGUUGCAUAUCGCAACUAUCCAUUAAAAGAUCGUAUUAGAGAAAACCGCUUAAUGUAUGGUUCUGUUCGAUUUAGAAUAUAAUUAUUUUUUUUAUGAUGCACUAAUCAACUUCAUCAAACUCAUUAGCAUGAAUUAUACCACUCGCCAAAUACCAAACCUUAAAGCACCACAUUGUUCUGAAACCUCUACUCUUCCAAGCAACAAAUUUUAUAUACAAAUAUUGGUACCAUAAAAAGUGCAGGCAUUAUUCUAAUUCAUAGUAAAUAGAACUCUGUUGAUACGAUAAUGUUUAAAUAAGUCUUGUCUUUUAGAAACAAUAGUGCUUUACAGUGAUGACAAUACCAGUCACUUGACAUGGUUCAGGAGCCCACUCUAGCAAGUCUUGAUGAGCAUCUUCGGGAGCUUUACAAGCCGCUUCGUCUUCAACGUCUUACCUCGUGUUCCACUUUCGGGAAAUUCUUCACAUGGCUUUUAAUCUGCGAUUCCAUAAAACCCCCGGCCAUUCCAAAUAUAUAACGCAAAACAUUGAAGAAAGAAGGUAGAAUAUGUAAGCAUAUAUUGAUGAUUGAAUUAUUAUUUAAGUGUUGAUACACGUGCUUAUUUCUUAUUAGUGACACAUGAUUUAGUUUGUAAAUUUAGUCUACCUAGCAUUAUUCUGUAAACAUUCUUUUGCCUUUGCCCAUCCCUCUUUUUUCCUUUGUAAUUCCCAUCUGUUCCUAACCAAAGUGUGAAAACUGGUUAUCAUGUGCCGGAAACAAAAUCAUUAAGUUUAUAAAACUCCCUUUUUUGGUGGGGGGCACAACUCAUUGGGCAUCUUGAACUAGUACUAUACUUACAUGACACCCAAAUGGUGUUGGGGGUUCUUCCGGGUUACACGGAGGAGGCCGGUCGAGGACCGUCAGUUCAAUCAAACUACAAAACUUUACAAACAUACACUAGUUCAUAAACCUCCAGAGGCAUUAUUUAACCACUACCAAUAGAAAGCAGCUGAUAGGAUAAGGAAAUCCACUACAGUGAUGAUGUCACUCCCUUGACAUGGUUCAAGAGCCACUCCAACAAGUCUUGAUGAGCCUCCUCGGCAGAUUUACAAGCUGCUUCGUCUUCAACAUUGUACCUCACCGUCCACCCGUGUGACACUUUGGGGAAUAUCUUCACAUGGCUCUUAACCUGUGAUUCCACAAAACCAACAAUCGUUUCAACAAAUUUCAAAAGUUUGCCACUACAAGCCACCACAGUGGUGAACCCUAAUGUGAAGGGGGGGGGGGGUGUGUUCCUCGUGUUGUCCUAUCAUUUCUUCACAGAGAACAAAAUUAAAAUGUUUUUGAAGUUCAUACAAAACAGUGUACGACCAUCAUUGGAAAUUAAAUAGAAUGUCUUGGCAUAACAUAUAAGCUCUCUGGCACCCUUCCCUUACAAAGUUACAAGUCAUUUUUGGAAGGGCAAGUUACCUUUAACUACAAGCCAUGCACAAUUAUAUUUCAUUAUAUGAUACACAAAGCAGGCAUCUCAAGUUGAGGAAUGUCCGUGACUAGAAUAAACAACUAACAAAAGCACAAGUACUGAAGACUGUUCGGAUGAAAGAUAUAUUCCUACCUCAGAUUUUGCAGUUAAAACCUCUUCAAACUGUUUCACAACUUCAGGUGGAGAUAUCCGAUCAAACUCAGCUCCAAGUAUAGAAAUAGGAACCUUAACCUCUGAAAGUAGUUCCAGGAAUAGACGAGUGUGAGACUAACUUUUUGUUCCAAUAAUGGUGUCCAAGUAGAUAUUUCCUGAAUAUUAAUACAGAUAUCUUACCCUUUAUAUCAUCCACAGUGACAAAUGUAGGAUGACACAGAACAGCAGCUUGAAUUAAAGCGCGCUUUGCAAGUUCAACCACAACCUUGGCUGAAAACAGCGCAAAUAGUUCAAUGUCGACCGAAACAAUAUUUUCCAUAUUGGUUGAACUAUUGAAACAAGAGUGAUAAGUAAAACACUGCCUAAACAUUAGCCAAAAGUCCAAACGAGAAACAUUUUUGUUACACUGAAAAAGCAACAAAUAACCCACAAAGUAAAUGGAUUAUGGAGAUAAGGAAAAAUAAAAUAGAGCAACCAAGAUGUUAACAGGAAAGGAAAAUGAACUCACCUCCCCAACAGAAGCCUGCAGCACCGAUUGAAGAAACGCCUUUUCUUUUUAAAGCUUCAAGAACUAGCUUUGCAUCCUCAAAUCCCUUGUCCUAUCAAUCCAAAAACCAGAUUUAGAAGCUAACAAUACUUGAACAUACCCAAAUUGCAGAGAAACUUUUAUAACACCCCAAUGCUAGGGACUCGUAACUUAACCAUUGUCACAAAAGCUGGAAUCAGCCUAGUAGUGAACAACCAUAAAAAGUUUUGACAUAAAUAAUCAUGGGAUUGCCAAGCUGAACCCGCACACAUAAGCAUCUAAAAUAUUUUAGUAAACUCAAGAAUUGCAUAGGGAGACUUGUAAAAGUACUUCGAUCAUCAAAGAAACAAAACAGAUAUGCAUAAAAGUAGACAUAACAACAAAAGAACCAACCGGUCUAUGAUCUUUUAUCCAAACAGGAAGAGGUCUAUUGGCAUCUUCAGGUGCAUAAGGAUCUUUGUUAAAGAAGUCGGGAACCACAACAAAGAAUCCAGCAGCUGCUACUUUAUCAGCAAGCUUCCUUCAAAAUGGAAGGCAGGUGGCAUUAGUUAAAGGGUAUACGAUAUUGUGGAAACACGGAAACUACAAAGUGAUUCCACAGUUUUCUUCGAUGAAAAUAGCUGAUGUCGGUAACCGGCACGCGAAAUUUUAUCGUUCUGUACAUUACAGAGUGAACAACCUAAAAAUACAGUUAUAGAUCUUCAAAUCAUCAUAAAAGGUCAUUGCAUAGGCAGGGGAUCGGACAAUAUCUGAUACUGAUAUACAAUCCGAAACUAUUGGUUGUAACUAUCUUUCAAAAUUAAGUUAGAUAUAGAUAUAGAAUCAUAGAUUAUAGACCUAUAGUAACUUUUUUUUUUUUUCUUCCUUAACGAUUGUAUUAUUUCAAGUAAUUACUCAUCAAAUUUAACCAGCAAGUGUCACUGAUGUCCCCGAGUCAAUAUCCGAAAGCGAAAAGGGACAGCAUAAAACGUUCGGGUGCAAGAAAAAGCGAUUCGCAGAAUUCAUCUAGCACAUUAUCCACUGCAAAUAAAAUUAGCAGUCGAAAAACCAAUAAAGAGACUAGUC